GACGAACGCUGGCGGCGUGCUUAACACAUGCAAGUCGAGCGGAAAGGCCCUGCUUUUGUCGGGUGCUCGAGUGGCGAACGGGUGAGUAACACGUGAGUAACCUGCCCUUGAUUUUGGGAUAAUGUCAUGAAACUGGGGCUAAUACCAGAUAGGAGCUCCUGCUGUAUGGAGGGGGUUGGACAGUUCCGGCGGUGGGGGAUGUACUCGCGGCUUAUCAGCUUGUUGUUGGGGUAGUGGCUUACCACGGCUUUGACGGUUAGCCGACCUGAGAGGAUGACCGGCAAAAUUGGGGCCGAGAGAUGCCCCAGACUCCAACGGGCGGCAGCAGUGGGGAAUAUUGCCCAAUGGGCGGAAGCCUGAGGCAGGCCCGCCGCGUGAGGGAUGACGGUCAUCGGGUUGCAAAGGGCUAGCGCCUGUGCCGAGGUCUUAGUGACGGUAAUGGGUAAAGAAUCACCGGCUACCUACGUG
Molecule: ribosomal RNA, 468 nt
Filed under: uncultured bacterium
Lineage: Bacteria
Description: partial 16S ribosomal RNA
Rfam family: Bacterial small subunit ribosomal RNA
Source: RNAcentral